GUGCUGGCUGUCCCUGGUGACAGACUGCAGCCCAGCCAUAGCCUGGGGGAGGGAGUGGGUUGCAGCAGAUGUGCACAUCUGGAUCACCUGCCCCUAACCCAGCACACUCCAACUUCUCCAUGGCUUUGGCUUCCACAGGACAUUUCUCGGGGUGGCCUCCUCUCUGAGGAAGACAGCUACCUUGAAUCGCACAGCUGCAAGAAUAUGAACUUUGCCAACAACCUGAGACAGCCUGAAAGCAGCUCCUUACCUAACCGAGCCUCCAGAUGAGACCCAGUCCUGGCUGACAUCUUGACUGCAGCCUUGAGAGGACCCAGUUAAGCUGUGCCUCGACUCCUGAGCCACAGAAACUGUGAGAUAAUAGAUGGAUGUUAUUUUAAGCUGCUAAGUUUCUGAUAAUUUGUUACACAGUGUAGAGAACUAAUAUACUGGUACUACUCUCUAUUUUCAACAAUAUCUAUUCUCAACACAGCAGCCAGAGGAUCCUGUUAAUAUGUACGUCUUUUUCUAUUUAAAACAGUCUGGGGUCUUCCCCAACACAGAGCAAUAGCCACAGUUACACCACAGCUCACAUGGCCACACACACACUGUCUCACUGGCCUGGCCUCCUACUGCUUUCUCCUGGCUCACUUGAUUGAUACUGGCCACCUUUUCAAUUCCCCAACAUGCCAGGCAUGCUCCCUGGGCCUUGGUUUCCUCUGUCUGGAAUACUCUUCCUUCCAGUAUCCAUGCAGCUCACUCCCUCAGCUCUUGCACAUCUUUGCUCAAAUGUCAUUCUCUUGAUGAGGCCUUCCCUUUUUAUUCCCAAUAAAAAAAUUGCAAUACUCCUCCUACUCCACCACUCUUCACUGUCAUGUCCUGCUUUUCUUUUCUCCAUAGUACUUAAACCAUCUGACAUACUAUAUGUUUUACCUAUUUGUUUAUUGGCUAUCUCUCCACAGCAGGACAUAAGCUCCCUAAAUGCAGGAACUUUUUUAUCAGCUUUUUCCAUUGCUUUAUCUCCAGUGUUUAGAGCAGGUCUGACACAUAAUACAUAUUCGGUAAAUAUUUGUUGAAAUAAAUUUCAAAUAUUUAUAUGAAAUCUGCUCUUAGAUUAUAUUUCCAGCCAUAUUGUAAAAUCUUCCAUUUAAGUAUAAUAUAGGCAUCAUCAAAAAAACCUCAAGACUAUUAUUUACAUUAUCUGCUCUAACAACAAAGACAUGGACCAUUUCAGGAAAAUCACUUUCUACUGUAGAAGAAAACCACAUCAAUCCAAUUCAGUGAAAUCCACCACAUAUCCAAAUUUCCCUUUCAUUAUAUGGAUCUGAAAGCCGAACUCUGCUACCCUAAGAGUAGGCUGCUCAAUAAUGAGCUGGCAGAAAACUGAAGCACCAAAAUCAAGACACUUUCUAUACAACAAUGGUGUUCUCAAAGUAAAGUUCUAUCAACUUUCUCUAUGAUUGUAAAAUGAGAAAGCUGUUUCUUUAAGCAAUUUUAAGAGUAAGCUUUGGCAGCACCCACUUAUCACUAACUGGCAGAACUAAAUAUCUAAGAUCUUGAAUCUAGAAUCUCUACCAAUAUCUGUUGGGCAGCAGGAGUUGAGGCAUGAUCCCAUGGCCCAGCACCAUACUGAACAGGACUUGUGGGGCAGGGAGGUAGCAAGACCCAGGAGCUGCUGUGUGGCAAGCAGAAGUCCAAUAAUUGCACAUACCUAGAGAAUAAUCACCGGAAAAGACAGAGGACAGAGCCCUGGUGUAGUGGAAAGAGAGUGGACCUUGGAGUCAGAAAGACCUGCUUUGUUUGAAUCCAAACUCUGCUCCUGACCCCUCACCUUAGGAAAACUACACUACCUCAAUUUCAUUU
Molecule: long non-coding RNA, 1842 nt
Filed under: Homo sapiens (human)
Lineage: Eukaryota; Metazoa; Chordata; Mammalia; Primates; Hominidae
Description: HSALNT0109398
Source: RNAcentral